This 497-nucleotide ribosomal RNA is filed under the name uncultured bacterium. RNAcentral's name for it is "partial 16S ribosomal RNA". It matches the Rfam family "Bacterial small subunit ribosomal RNA", at positions 28 to 507 of the family's 1533-position model. The record is from RNAcentral.
GAUGAACGCCGGCGGCGUGCCUAAUACAUGCAAGUCGAGCGAACAGACGAGGAGCUUGCUCCUCUAACGUUAGCGGCGGACGGGUGAGUAACACGUGGAUAACCUACCUAUAAGACUGGGAUAACUUCGGGAAACCGGAGCUAAUACCGGAUAAUAUAUUGAACCGCAUGGUUCAAUAGUGAAAGACGGUUUUGCUGUCACUUAUAGAUGGAUCCGCGCCGCAUUAGCUAGUUGGUAAGGUAACGGCUUACCAAGGCAACGAUGCGUAGCCGACCUGAGAGGGUGAUCGGCCACACUGGAACUGAGACACGGUCCAGACUCCUACGGGAGGCAGCAGUAGGGAAUCUUCCGCAAUGGGCGAAAGCCUGACGGAGCAACGCCGCGUGAGUGAUGAAGGUCUUCGGAUCGUAAAACUCUGUUAUUAGGGAAGAACAAAUGUGUAAGUAACUAUGCACGUCUUGACGGUACCUAAUCAGAAAGCCACGGCUAACUACGUG